UACAGAGGGUGCGAGCGUUAAUCGGAUUUACUGGGCGUAAAGCGUACGUAGGCGGCUUAUUAAGUCGGAUGUGAAAUCCCUGAGCUUAACUUAGGAAUUGCAUUCGAUACUGGGAAGCUAGAGUAUGGGAGAGGAUGGUAGAAUUCCAGGUGUAGCGGUGAAAUGCGUAGAGAUCUGGAGGAAUACCGAUGGCGAAGGCAGCCAUCUGGCUUAAUACUGACGCUGAGGUGCGAAAGCAUGGGGAGCAAACAGG
This 253-nucleotide ribosomal RNA is filed under the name uncultured Acinetobacter sp. RNAcentral's name for it is "partial 16S ribosomal RNA". It matches the Rfam family "Bacterial small subunit ribosomal RNA", at positions 524 to 776 of the family's 1533-position model. Lineage: Bacteria; Pseudomonadati; Pseudomonadota; Gammaproteobacteria; Moraxellales; Moraxellaceae. The record is from RNAcentral.